Molecule: ribosomal RNA, 253 nt
Filed under: uncultured bacterium
Lineage: Bacteria
Description: partial 16S ribosomal RNA
Rfam family: Bacterial small subunit ribosomal RNA
Source: RNAcentral
UACGGGGGGAGCAAGCGUUGUUCGGAUUUACUGGGCGUAAAGCGCGCGUAGGCGGCUUUUCAAGUCGGAUGUGAAAUCCCCGGGCUUAACCUGGGAACUGCAUUCGAGACUGUCUAGCUAGAGUAUGGGAGAGGGAAGUGGAAUUUCAGGUGUAGCGGUGAAAUGCGUAGAUAUCUGAAGGAACAUCAGUGGCGAAAGCGACUUCCUGGACCAAUACUGACGCUCAUGUGCGAAAGCGUGGGGAGCAAACAGG